UGCCAGGCCAUGACAAUGCUUGCGUUCACUUUACCUGAGAUUAAACCAUGACCUAGAAGUAGAAACCUGGAAUUACAAAUCCCUGAGGAAUGAGAGACCUCUGUGCCUGAGACCGUAAGGAACAGAGCUUGGGGGUCCUGGGGUGUCAAACACCAAGGAUCUCUUAAUUAGCAAGUUCAAAGGGAAGGGAUGAAUAGAAAAGAAAAAACUCAGAAAUGACCCCAGGAGGGAGACCAUAGGGACAGGUUUAGCUCCUUCCCAGCUUGAGUACACAGGAAAUGUCAUUCAGGGAACUGUGACUUGUAAUAUAGAAAGAGGGUUCCUUACAGCACAGAGAGUGGCAACAGAAGCCAGGCGAAAUAGGCAGUGUUCCUAAGUCAGGUCUGGAGUGGCAUUCUGCUGAAUGAACGGGGCUUGAAAGAAAACAAACCUGGAAGAGACCAUGGAAAGCUGCAACCCUGUAAUCGCGAAACUCCCAAAGAUGGGACACCUUGUGCCUGAGAUUCUCCGAGUCCGUACGUGUUGUCUUUUCAUAUGUUACAUACUUUAUAUGUCUGGCUGGAAGAAUUUGGCAGAAAGAGGGCCUCAUGGCUGGAAGAGCAACGGGCCUGUGGUGACACCACGUGUGACUGAAGCUUGCUGUCUCCAAACAAGAUCCAUCCUGGGCCUUCCCAGUUCUGUGAUCCCACAGAUUCCACAUGCUUAAGCUGGUUGGAGUUGGGUUUCUGUCACUUGCAACCAAAAGAGCCCUGACUAUAGAAUGCAUCCAGCGCCUUGGUAUUCUGUGGAAAGGCAGAACCCUCAGCUGUGUACUGGCAGGAACUCUGGUGCUAGGCCAAGUGAACACGGUAGGGAAGUGGUCCUUAUGCAUUUGUGCAAGAAGAAUUGCUGUGAAUUCCAGGCAAAUGCUAAACCCCUUGGGUGGUGGAGACAGUGAGGACAGCAGGAAGAACUGCCUUAAGAAUCCCCUUUAGACCCUGGACUAAACCACCCCUCCUUCAAAGUCUAUCACUGCAUCAGCUCAGUAGGGCAAGGGAGGAAGGGCAUGAUGGAAGGAAAGAGAAAGAGCUAUUAAAAACAUAUGUAUGAAUGCCUCCCCCCCAAUCCCCCCACCCUAGCCCUAAACCCUGCCACUGUGAACUGAAGGACUCUGAGGCCAAAAUAGAUUCUCAAGACUGUAUUUACCAGAUUAGAAAAUAGCUUUGGGGUAGAAACCCUCAAUCUCAAAUUAUAAUAAAUAAAAACUUAGACCUGCCUGGACCUUUACAGUUGUUAAAGCACUACUAUAUAUAUUAUUCAUAUAUCUGCAUUCAACAAACACCCAUUAGCCACCUCUGCCGCAGGCUCUGUGCUAGGCUGGGGGAGACAAGCACAGAAGACAUGCUUUCUGCUUUCUGGGAGCUUGGAGUGUAAUCAUGGAGACAGUUUUGUAAAGGUAGUGCCCAGAGCUGUGAUGGAGUUAUAUACAGAGCACUGUGGAUGUGAGGAGGAACAUCUAACUGAAGGCAGGGAGCUGAGCCUAUCAAACACGGAAAUAGACAUCUGCAGAGGCAUGAGGUGGUGGCAGGGAGG
Molecule: long non-coding RNA, 1572 nt
Filed under: Homo sapiens (human)
Lineage: Eukaryota; Metazoa; Chordata; Mammalia; Primates; Hominidae
Description: HSALNT0154100
Source: RNAcentral